Molecule: long non-coding RNA, 3795 nt
Organism: Triticum dicoccoides
Lineage: Eukaryota; Viridiplantae; Streptophyta; Magnoliopsida; Poales; Poaceae
Exons: 2
Source: RefSeq, a predicted model, not a curated record
CCGUCUGCCGGUUUUGUCGGGGAGCCCGGCGGCUCUGUGGUGUUCAAGCAGGAACCUCAUGCUACCGGCAGGAUGCGGCGCUUGCUUGAACAUCCCAGAGCCACCGGCGUGCCAAAAUUCACGCAGAAGGAGACCCCUCGAGGAGUGAUCCGCCAAGCUGGAGUACCUGAACGUCUUCUUCAAGUACUCCACUUUUUUUUCUUGCGGAGAAAAAGGUGGAAUACCUGAAGAAGAUUUUCAGGUAGUCCAUUAGAAAGCUCACCAUAUUACCUCCAAGACCGUGCUGCAUCCCGCAGAGGUUUGAAGAUUAUGCGUAUUGAAGUUCAGCACAGGCAUGCUCCUAUAGCUGGAUAAGAAUUAUGCAUUAAAAUAGAUAUGUAAAAAUGAAAAUAGCAUUCUAAUUGGAAUGCUAGGUUUGAAGAUUCCAUAUGGAGGUUGGUAGCGUAACUCUUUAAGUCGGAAGUGUGAUUCAUUUGAAGCCGUUGCGGCAAUGUUCUAAUUCGCGCACAGUUUUCCUGUGCUCCUUUUGCAGAAAACUAUAGUGCAGUUGGGUAUUUGUGCUUAUGCCAGUACUUGUGCUGUAGAUUCUCCCUAACUGAUUGGUUUGUUCUCUCUAUUUUUUCUGAUUUGAUACCCGUUUCUCGUUUUUUACAUGUUCUUUUCUGUUUGCAUCAUUAGCUGGUUAGGGAGUUUUGAGCGAUGAUGACAUUAUGUGGACUAGAGUUUCUGAUACUGCCUCUUCAGCAGUACUUUUGAAGACAAACCCUUGGCUGUCUGAGCUCUCCCCCCCUUUGUGCAUUUAUAUCUUUUGAUUAGUUCAUGUAUUCUUUUGUUCAUUACCAAUUCCUCAGGAUGAUUUAUCAAUUCCUUGAGAUGAUCGUGUUUCUCAUGGUAUAAUUGCUUGGACCUUGGGUUGUUGUAUUGUGAUCUUUGUGUGGUGUUUUUCAUUGGUCCUGAUGCCAUUUCGCUGGUAGCUACAGCUUUGACUGGAGAUAUUACAUUGUGCCAAGAGAGUGAUCUUGACGUCUCAAAUUUGAUAGGAAUCUGUGGACAUGAUUUAGUAGGUACGCAGAGCCAUAUUUUGUGAUUACACUUUCUGAUUUUAAGUUGGAGGGAAUCAAUGUCGAUGAUGAUAAAACAUAGGCUUGUUUCUCAAAACAUUCGCAGUUGCCACCUAAGAGCUUUCGCCCUGCCAGGCUUGAGAGCUAAUGCUGCUAAUUCCUUCCUUGGAUGUCUGAGACAUUGAUUUUACUCAUUUGAAUCUUUUUUUGUCUCUGCUCUAUCUUUUUGAUUUAACAAGAUAUUAUGUUAUUGUACUUGCUUUGUAUACUUUGCUUAUUUUUAAUUGGGUGAAAUCAAUGGCGAUGGUGAUAAAACUUAGGCUUGUUUCUCAAAACAUUCGCAGUUGCCGCCUAAGAGCUUUCGCCCUGCCAGGCUUGAGAGCUAAUGCUGCUAAUUCCUUCCUUGGAUGUCUGAGCCAUGUUGAUAUUACUCAUUUGAAUAUUUUUUUGUUUCUGUUUUAUCUUCCUGCUUUAAGAGGAUGUGUUUGUGAUUAUACUUGCUUUGCAAACUUACCAUAAUAUGUUUUCACUGUACUUAUUUGGAAGUGGGGGAAAUCAAUGGUGAUGAUGAUAAAACUUUGGCUUGUUUCUCAAAACAUUCGCAGUUGCAGCCUAAGGGCUUUUGCCCUGCCAGGCUUGAGAGCUAAUGCUGCUAAUUCCUUCCUUUGAUGUCUCAGCCAUGUUAAUUUUACUCAUUUGAAUCCUUUUUUUGUCUCUGCUUUAUCUUCUUGAUUUAACAAGAUAUUAUGUUAUUGUACUUUUUGUAUACUUUGCUUACUUUUAAUCGGGUGAAAUCAAUGGUGAUGAUGAUAAAACUUAGGCUUGUUUCUCAAAACAUUCGCAGUUGCAGCCUAAGAGCUUUCGCCCUGCCAGGCUUGAGAGCUAAUGCUGCUAAUUCCUUCCUUGGAUGUCUGAGCCAUGUUGAUUGUUUGUCUCUGUUUUAUCUUCCUGGUUUAAGAGUAUGUGUUUGUGAUUAUACUUGCGUUGCAAACUUACCAUAAUAUGUUUCCACUGUACUUAUUUGGAAUUGGGGAAAUCAAUGGCGAUGACGAUAAUACUUAGGCUUGUUUCUCAAAACAUUCGCAGUUGCCGCCUAAAAGUUUUCGCCCCGCCAGGCUUGAGAUCUAAUGCUGCUAGUUCCUUCCUUGGAUGUCUGAGCCAUGUUAAUUUACCUGAUUUAAUGUUCUUUGUGGCCGUCUGACUUGAUGAUACUGGUUUUGAUCUGAUAUAUUUGUACUAGGAUGAGAGGUGUAGAGAGCUGCGGGAUAAUAAGAAUAUUAGAACCAUGAAAUUCCAGUUACCUGCCCAUUCUAUUCAGGUUCAUACCGCGCUUUGCUAUAUAUCUGCCUGUUUGGAACAUAGGAUUCUGAAACGUAGAAACAUAUGAUAAACUAAAUCUUGUUUCUCAAAACAUUCACAGUUGCUACUAAGUAUUUCUCAAAACGCUCAUUGGUGUUAACAUGAUUGUGUUGCAUCCUUUAGUAUCUUCAUUGAGGAGAACCAGAAGUUUGGUUGGUUUUUCUGGAGGACGGUGAAGAUUGAUAUUUGGUCUCGUUAGUCGUAAUUGGCAUUUUUUUGCCUUGCCGACCAUACUGCUAUAUCACCACCCAUAUUCUGAGUCCUCCAGUUACAUGUUUUCCUUUUUUGGUUUCGAUUUAUAUCCAUUUUGUUUGAUGAUGAUUAAUAAACUAAACUAUGGAAGAAGAGUAUCUUAUCUGUUCUUAAGACCAAUUAUCCAUAUUUUUAUGUUGUUUUACAAUUGUUCUUACCUAUGAUGAGUUGCGAACUGUAUUGCUUACAUUGUUUGAACAAUCUGUGAGAAGCUUAUGCAACGUCUGAGGAUGAACAAGGAAAGGAACAAAUUUUCUUAUUUGCUCUUAGCUGACGGCAAUUACAGCAUCUACUUUUAUACUACUCAAUUAGUUUCUCCAAAAUGAUGAUUUCAGAAAGUGGCCCGACAAAUUUGCUAGCUGUAUUCUUUCUUUACCUUAUCCCGGUUCAUGUGAUGCCUGUCUCUUUGACUUUGUGCCGAUGUCUGAUCCGCAGACUAAACUUUCUGAAUUUGAUUCUGGGAAGAGCUGCAAUUUUCUUUUUGCGUUCGUUUUACAAUGCUGUAGCGUGUUAACAGGUGACUGGAACUUUCAAACAUGUGUGUAAGAAAAAGGAUCACAAUUUUUUUAUUGUUUUUGCAAUUAUUCUGUGUUUUACCGUUCAUCUGGGAUCAUAUGCAUCCGUGAGGAGAAACUUCGUGCCAGUCAAGUAAACCUUUUCAUUAGAUGUUUUCUGCUGUACAAGUUUGGGCCGGUUUGGCACCCCGCCCGUGCAGCCACGUGAUUGGCCCACUCCACUCCUCUCCAUGCAGCGCGUGGGCCUCCCUCAGCUGCGUGGUCGUGGAUGUGAAUACGGCUGCUGCGCCCCUCCUUCGCCGAGGACAGGCGCACCUCCUGGCCCGUGGCCUCCUGCUGCCCACCUUUAAAUUGAUGAUCUACUGUGUACAUUUAUAGUAAUUACAUACAAACAAAAUGGUGAUGAAAUUAAAUUAAUUUUGAAUUAUUUAUAUCGACAGUAAAUACUCACUAACAGUCUUUCCUCCUUCAUUUUACACUAGACUAGCAUUGUAGCACCGUUUUCCUUCUGAAUGUUAGAGGAUCUGGUUCACUAUUUCAGUUCUGUUAGAGUACAACUUAUGUAUUCCAGAAUUUAUGAAUGAUGUAAUAUAUUUCCAUGUUUAUCA